CAGCAGCCGCGGGAAUACGUAGGGUGCGAGCGUUAAUCGGAAUUACUGGGCGUAAAGCGUGCGCAGGCGGUUGUGUAAGACAGGUGUGAAAUCCCCGGGCUCAACCUGGGAAUGGCAAUGGAUACUGGCAAGCUAGAGUGUGUCAGAGGAUGGUGGAAUUCCACGUGUAGCAGUGAAAUGCGUAGAUAUGUGGAGGAAUACCGAUGGCGAAGGCAGCCCCCUGGGAUAACACUGACGCUCAUGCACGAAAGCGUGGGGAGCAAACAGGAUUAGAUACCCCCGUAGUCCCUGUCUCUUAUAC
Molecule: ribosomal RNA, 301 nt
Filed under: uncultured bacterium
Lineage: Bacteria
Description: partial 16S ribosomal RNA
Rfam family: Bacterial small subunit ribosomal RNA
Source: RNAcentral